GUGGGGAAUAUUGGGCAAUGGGGGAAACCCUGACCCAGCGACGCCGCGUGAGGGAAGACGGCCUUCGGGUUGUAAACCUCUUUUGUACGGGAAGAAGGAAGUGACGGUACUGUACGAAUAAGUCCCGGCUAACUACGUGCCAGCAGCCGCGCUAAUACGUAGGGGACGAGCGUUGUCCGGAAUUACUGGGCGUAAAGGGCGCGCAGGCUGUGCUGCAAGUAAGCUGUGAACUGUCUGGGCUUAACCCUGGCAUGCGGUUGAGACUGCAGUGCUGGAGUGCUGUAGAGGCAAGUGGAAUUCCCAGUGUAGCGGUGAAAUGGGUAGAUAUUGGGAAGAACACCGGUGGCGAAGGCGACUUGCUGGGCAGCAACUGACGCUGAGGCGCGAAAGCCAGGGGAGCAAACGGGAUUAGAAACCCUGGUAGUCC
This 427-nucleotide ribosomal RNA is filed under the name uncultured bacterium. RNAcentral describes it as "partial 16S ribosomal RNA". It matches the Rfam family "Bacterial small subunit ribosomal RNA", at positions 354 to 796 of the family's 1533-position model. The record is from RNAcentral.